CCGUGACAGGUCAACCAGUGGUUCACCCAGGUCUGUGGGCCACGACAGGUCAACUAGGUUCGUCCAGGUCUAGGUCCGUGGGCCGGGACAGUUCAAGUGUUCGUGUACCCAGGUCCCAAGCCGUGGAGAGCAGGUCCUUAGAUGGUCUUUCGCAUGCAAGGCCCAUUUACAAUAGGGCUGUGCCAACCACAUUCCCCCUGUCAGAAGCGAAAUUCCAGAAAAUAGUGGUAACAAAGCUGGUGACUCUCACUGAUGAGGUCAAAAAACUCCAGAGGACCUUACCUAACUCUGGGAUUGAUAUAAGCAAGAUCGACACCUUGGAAGAGUUCGAGAGGGAGGAGGCUUCUCUUCUGGAGAAAAA
This is a long non-coding RNA of Micropterus dolomieu (smallmouth bass), 361 nucleotides long. RefSeq lists it as uncharacterized. NCBI's taxonomy places the organism in Eukaryota, Metazoa, Chordata, Actinopteri, Centrarchiformes, Centrarchidae. The transcript has 6 exons. The record is from RefSeq and is a predicted model, not a curated record.